UACGGGGGGAGCAAGCGUUGUUCGGAUUUACUGGGCGUAAAGGGCGCGUAGGCGGUCAGCACAAGUCAGUUGUGAAAUCUCCGGGCUUAACUCGGAAAGGUCAACUGAUACUGUGCGACUAGAGUGCAGAAGGGGCAACUGGAAUUCUCGGUGUAGCGGUGAAAUGCGUAGAUAUCGAGAGGAACACCAAUGGCGAAGGCAGCUCGCUGGGACGGUACUGACGCUGAGACGCGAAAGCGUGGGGAGCAAACAGG
This 254-nucleotide ribosomal RNA is filed under the name uncultured bacterium. Its description in RNAcentral is "partial 16S ribosomal RNA". It matches the Rfam family "Bacterial small subunit ribosomal RNA", at positions 524 to 776 of the family's 1533-position model. The record is from RNAcentral.